AUGGAUCGCCCACCACGUCACGACAUCGACCUCAACGAGCCGCCACCGCCGUCGUUCCCGCAUGAGUUCGCUGCCCCCGUUGCUCCUCCUCCUCCGCCGCCGCCACCCGCUAACGUGCAGGCCCACCUGCUGCUGCCGCACCAUGCCCGCGAGCUAGCGCUGGCGUACCACCGUGCGGAAUCCUGGAGGUUAGCUGCUGCUACGGCCAGUGCGCCCGCGACCGCUGGUUCAUCGCUGGAGGUGCCGCCACCGCCGGUUCUCCAGUCGCCCGCUUUUGCUCCUCCGCCGCUGCGACCGCUGGUUCGCCGGUCACCCGCUUUUGCUCCUCCGCCGCUGCCGCCGCCUGUUCUCCAGUCGCCCCCUUUUGCUCCUCCGCUGCCGCCGCCACGGCCACCCCAGCUCCCGCCUCCCGCCAACGUGCAGACUCAGCUGCUGCUCGCGCACCAAGCCGGCGAGAUACCGCUGGCGCACCACCGUGGGGAAAUGUGGUGGAGGUCGGCCAUUGCGGCCGCGACGGCAGGUUCGUCGGCAGAGGGGCUACCUCCAGCGCCGGUGCAGCACCGAGGAGUAGCGGGGUGGGGCGGGAACCCGUGCGCGUCCUGCGGCCUCCCCGAGCUGCCGGGAUCCACCGUCAUCUGCGACGCCUGCGAACGUGGGUUCCACCAAGCCUGCGUCCACGUCGCGCGGCGGCCUCCGGUGGGCGUGAACGAGGGGUGGAUGUGCCCAGAGUGUGCGACAGGACCCGUGCCGCUCGACAUCUCCAGGCAUUAUGUCAGCUCCCUCUUGAUCAAUUCCUUAUGGGAUACAUUUUUUUUGAGGGAGAUCGUUCUGCGCCCGCCGCUGCGGCCUGUGGUAGAUCGCCAGACGCCACCGCCGCGGCGCCAUGAUAGCGAGUCCCGCCGUCUCAGCCCGUGUAGAUUUUCCUGCCGCGGUACCGAUCGAUGCAACAUGCCAUCAUCAUCGAGUACACGAGCCCGGCGAUCACUUGAUUUAUUCCUCCAGCAAUCGAGCCUAAAGUGA
Molecule: ribosomal RNA, 1020 nt
Filed under: Triticum aestivum (bread wheat)
Lineage: Eukaryota; Viridiplantae; Streptophyta; Magnoliopsida; Poales; Poaceae
Description: partial small subunit ribosomal RNA
Source: RNAcentral